This 756-nucleotide ribosomal RNA is filed under the name uncultured bacterium. RNAcentral's name for it is "bacterial SSU rRNA". It matches the Rfam family "Bacterial small subunit ribosomal RNA", at positions 28 to 776 of the family's 1533-position model. The record is from RNAcentral.
GAUGAACGCUAGCGACAGGCCUAACACAUGCAAGUCGAGGGGCAGCACAAGGUAGCAAUACUGAGGUGGCGACCGGCGCACGGGUGAGUAACGCGUAUGCAACCUGCCUGUAACAGGGGAAUAGCCUCUUGAAAGAGAGAUUAAUGCCGCAUAAUACGAGAUUCGGGCAUCCGGAUUUAGUUAAACAUUUAUGGGUUACAGAUGGGCAUGCGUUUCAUUAGGUAGUUGGUGAGGUAACGGCUCACCAAGCCGACGAUGAAUAGGGGUUCUGAGAGGAAGGUCCCCCACACUGGUACUGAGACACGGACCAGACUCCUACGGGAGGCAGCAGUGAGGAAUAUUGGUCAAUGGACGCAAGUCUGAACCAGCCAAGUCGCGUGAAGGAUGAAGGUAUUAUGUAUUGUAAACUUCUUUUGUCAGGGAAUAAUGGGUGUCACGUGUGACGCAGAGGAAUGUACCUGACGAAUAAGCAUCGGCUAACUCCGUGCCAGCAGCCGCGGUAAUACGGAGGAUGCGAGCGUUAUCCGGAUUUAUUGGGUUUAAAGGGUGCGUAGGCGGUUUGUUAAGUCAGUGGUGAAAGUUUGCGGCUCAACCGUAAAAUUGCCAUUGAAACUGGCGAACUUGAGUACAGUAGAGGUAGGCGGAAUUCGUGGUGUAGCGGUGAAAUGCUUAGAUAUCACGAAGAACUCCAAUUGCGAAGGCAGCUUGCUGGACUGUAACUGACGCUGAGGCACGAAAGCGUGGGGAUCAAACAGG